UGGGGGAUAUUGCACAAUGGGCGAAAGCCUGAUGCAGCGACGCCGCGUGGGGGAUGAAGGCCUUCGGGUUGUAAACUUCUUUUGCUCUGAACAAGGCAUGCUAAUGGGUGUGUUGAGUGUAGGGGUUGAUUAGCGCCGGCUAACUACGUGCCAGCAGCCGCGGUAAUACGUAGGGCGCGAGCGUUGUCCGGAAUUAUUGGGCGUAAAGGGCUUGUAGGUGGCUGGUUGCGUCUGUCGUGAAAGCUCAUGGCUUAACUGUGGGUUGGCGGUGGGUACGGGCUGGCUUGAGUGCAGUAGGGGAGGCUGGAAUGCCUGGUGUAGCGGUGGAAUGCGCAGAUAUCAGGAGGAAUACCGGUGGCGAAGGCGGGUCUCUGGGCUGUUACUGACACUGAGGAGCGAAAGCAUGGGGGGCGAACAGG
This 419-nucleotide ribosomal RNA is filed under the name bacterium. RNAcentral's name for it is "partial 16S ribosomal RNA". It matches the Rfam family "Bacterial small subunit ribosomal RNA", at positions 355 to 776 of the family's 1533-position model. The record is from RNAcentral.